This 1191-nucleotide ribosomal RNA is filed under the name uncultured Halomonas sp. RNAcentral's name for it is "bacterial SSU rRNA". It matches the Rfam family "Bacterial small subunit ribosomal RNA", at positions 174 to 1366 of the family's 1533-position model. The record is from RNAcentral. Lineage: Bacteria; Pseudomonadati; Pseudomonadota; Gammaproteobacteria; Oceanospirillales; Halomonadaceae.
UACGUCCUACGGGAGAAAGGGGGCUCCGGCUCCCGCUAUGGGAUGAGCCUAUGUCGGAUUAGCUAGUUGGUGAGGUAACGGCUCACCAAGGCCACGAUCCGUAGCUGGUCUGAGAGGAUGAUCAGCCACAUCGGGACUGAGACACGGCCCGAACUCCUACGGGAGGCAGCAGUGGGGAAUAUUGGACAAUGGGGGAAACCCUGAUCCAGCCAUGCCGCGUGUGUGAAGAAGGCCCUCGGGUUGUAAAGCACUUUCAGCGAGGAAGAACGCCUAACGGUUAAUACCCGCUAGGAAAGACAUCACUCGCAGAAGAAGCACCGGCUAACUCCGUGCCAGCAGCCGCGGUAAUACGGAGGGCGCAAGCGUUAAUCGGAAUUACUGGGCGUAAAGCGCGCGUAGGUGGCUUGAUAAGCCGGUUGUGAAAGCCCCGGGCUCAACCUGGGAACGGCAUCCGGAACUGUCAAGCUAGAGUGCAGGAGAGGAAGGUAGAAUUCCCGGUGUAGCGGUGAAAUGCGUAGAGAUCGGGAGGAAUACCAGUGGCGAAGGCGGCCUUCUGGACUGACACUGACACUGAGGUGCGAAAGCGUGGGUAGCAAACAGGAUUAGAUACCCUGGUAGUCCACGCCGUAAACGAUGUCGACCAGCCGUUGGGUGCCUAGCGCACUUUGUGGCGAAGUUAACGCGAUAAGUCGACCGCCUGGGGAGUACGGCCGCAAGGUUAAAACUCAAAUGAAUUGACGGGGGCCCGCACAAGCGGUGGAGCAUGUGGUUUAAUUCGAUGCAACGCGAAGAACCUUACCUACUCUUGACAUCCUGCGAAUUUGGUAGAGAUACCUUAGUGCCUUCGGGAACGCAGAGACAGGUGCUGCAUGGCUGUCGUCAGCUCGUGUUGUGAAAUGUUGGGUUAAGUCCCGUAACGAGCGCAACCCUUGUCCUUAUUUGCCAGCGCGUAAUGGCGGGAACUCUAAGGAGACUGCCGGUGACAAACCGGAGGAAGGUGGGGACGACGUCAAGUCAUCAUGGCCCUUACGAGUAGGGCUACACACGUGCUACAAUGGUCGGUACAAAGGGUUGCCAACUCGCGAGAGUGAGCCAAUCCCGAAAAGCCGAUCUCAGUCCGGAUCGGAGUCUGCAACUCGACUCCGUGAAGUCGGAAUCGCUAGUAAUCGUGGAUCAGAAUGCCACGGUGAA